UACGUAGGGGGCAAGCGUUGUCCGGAAUUAUUGGGCGUAAAGAGCGCGUAGGCGGUCCGAUAAGUCGGCUGUGAAAGUCAGGGGCUCAACCCUUGGAAGCCGGCCGAUACUGUCGGACUAGAGUCCGGAAGAGGCGAGUGGAAUUCCUGGUGUAGCGGUGAAAUGCGCAGAUAUCAGGAAGAACACCCGUGGCGAAGGCGGCUCUCUGGGACGGUACUGACGCUGAGACGCGAAAGCGUGGGGAGCAAACAGG
This 253-nucleotide ribosomal RNA is filed under the name uncultured bacterium. RNAcentral describes it as "partial 16S ribosomal RNA". It matches the Rfam family "Bacterial small subunit ribosomal RNA", at positions 524 to 776 of the family's 1533-position model. The record is from RNAcentral.